ACGACGCUGGCGGCGUGCCUAAUACAUGCAAGUCGAACGGUCUUUCUAUGGAAGCUUGCUUCCACUGAGAAGAUAGUGGCGAACGGGUGAGUAACACGUGGGUAACCUGCCCAUAAGAGGGGGAUAACAUCCGGAAACGGGUGCUAAUACCGCAUAGUUUUCUUGAUCGCAUGAUUGAGAAAGGAAAGACGGCCUUUGUGCUGUCGCUUAUGGAUGGACCCGCGGCGUAUUAGUUAGUUGGUGAGGUAACGGCUCACCAAGACGAUGAUACGUAGCCGACCUGAGAGGGUGAUCGGCCACAUUGGGACUGAGACACGGCCCAAACUCCUACGGGAGGCAGCAGUAGGGAAUCUUCCGCAAUGGACGAAAGUCUGACGGAGCAACGCCGCGUGAGUGAAGAAAGGUUUUCGGAUCGUAAAACUCUGUUGUCAGAGAAGAACAAGUUGGAGAGUAACUGCUCCAGCCUUGACGGUAUCUGACCAGAAAGCCACGGCUAACUACGUGCCAGCAGCCGC
RNAcentral lists this ribosomal RNA (515 nucleotides) under uncultured bacterium. Its description in RNAcentral is "bacterial SSU rRNA". It matches the Rfam family "Bacterial small subunit ribosomal RNA", at positions 32 to 518 of the family's 1533-position model. The record is from RNAcentral.